Non-coding RNA from Dipodomys ordii (Ord's kangaroo rat), 65 nucleotides. The record is from Rfam. Lineage: Eukaryota; Metazoa; Chordata; Mammalia; Rodentia; Heteromyidae.
GGUGGCUCAGUGGUAGAGUGCUUGCCUUGCAUGCAUGAAGCCCUGGGUUCAAUUCCUCAGCACCA